AAUACUCUAUACACACAGUCACACGCGUAAACACACAAAAUAAAAUAGUGGAGGUUCAGGAAGAAUUUUGAGCAACACAAGCUUUGGCCAUCAAUAUACCGAAACUCACAUGAACUUAGAUUGUUGAAACACAGUGUACUUUUUCUUCUUUGCUUCUUUUGCUACUUAACAAAUAUGCAUACAUAUAAAAAAGAGGACUAACUACAAGCCUAACUCACAGUCAACAUAUCAAAAGAGUGCCAAA
RNAcentral lists this unclassified non-coding RNA (244 nucleotides) under Hevea brasiliensis (rubber tree). The record is from RNAcentral. Lineage: Eukaryota; Viridiplantae; Streptophyta; Magnoliopsida; Malpighiales; Euphorbiaceae.